Molecule: transfer RNA, 81 nt
Filed under: Blyttiomyces helicus
Lineage: Eukaryota; Fungi; Chytridiomycota; Chytridiomycetes
Rfam family: tRNA
About the family: Transfer RNA (tRNA) molecules are approximately 80 nucleotides in length. Their secondary structure includes four short double-helical elements and three loops (D, anti-codon, and T loops).
Source: Rfam by way of RNAcentral
GCAACCAUAGUGUAGUGGUCAACAUGCUCGCCUUCCAUUGAUGGUUAGCGAGCGGCCCGGGUUCGAGCCCCGGUGGUUGCA